This 2825-nucleotide ribosomal RNA is filed under the name Yersinia massiliensis. RNAcentral's name for it is "bacterial LSU rRNA". It matches the Rfam family "Bacterial large subunit ribosomal RNA". Lineage: Bacteria; Pseudomonadati; Pseudomonadota; Gammaproteobacteria; Enterobacterales; Yersiniaceae. The record is from RNAcentral.
AGCGUACACGGUGGAUGCCUAGGCAGUCAGAGGCGAUGAAGGGCGUGCUAAUCUGCGAAAAGCGUCGGUAAGCUGAUAUGAAGCGUUAUAACCGACGAUACCCGAAUGGGGAAACCCAGUGCAAUUCGUUGCACUAUCGUUAGAUGAAUACAUAGUCUAACGAGGCGAACCGGGGGAACUGAAACAUCUAAGUACCCCGAGGAAAAGAAAUCAACCGAGAUUCCCCCAGUAGCGGCGAGCGAACGGGGAAGAGCCCAGAGUCUGAAUCAGGUUGUGUGUUAGUGGAAGCGUCUGGAAAGUCGCACGGUACAGGGUGAUAGUCCCGUACACCAAAACAUACUUCCUGUGAACUCGAUGAGUAGGGCGGGACACGUGACAUCCUGUCUGAAUAUGGGGGGACCAUCCUCCAAGGCUAAAUACUCCUGACUGACCGAUAGUGAACCAGUACCGUGAGGGAAAGGCGAAAAGAACCCCGGCGAGGGGAGUGAAAUAGAACCUGAAACCGUGUACGUACAAGCAGUGGGAGCACCUUCGUGGUGUGACUGCGUACCUUUUGUAUAAUGGGUCAGCGACUUAUAUUUUGUAGCAAGGUUAACCGAAUAGGGGAGCCGUAGGGAAACCGAGUCUUAACUGGGCGUCUAGUUGCAAGGUAUAGACCCGAAACCCGGUGAUCUAGCCAUGGGCAGGUUGAAGGUUGGGUAACACUAACUGGAGGACCGAACCGACUAAUGUUGAAAAAUUAGCGGAUGACUUGUGGCUGGGGGUGAAAGGCCAAUCAAACCGGGAGAUAGCUGGUUCUCCCCGAAAGCUAUUUAGGUAGCGCCUCGUGAACUCAUCUUCGGGGGUAGAGCACUGUUUCGGCUAGGGGGUCAUCCCGACUUACCAAACCGAUGCAAACUCCGAAUACCGAAGAAUGUUAUCACGGGAGACACACGGCGGGUGCUAACGUCCGUCGUGAAGAGGGAAACAACCCAGACCGCCAGCUAAGGUCCCAAAGUCAUGGUUAAGUGGGAAACGAUGUGGGAAGGCAUAGACAGCCAGGAUGUUGGCUUAGAAGCAGCCAUCAUUUAAAGAAAGCGUAAUAGCUCACUGGUCGAGUCGGCCUGCGCGGAAGAUGUAACGGGGCUAAACCAUGCACCGAAGCUGCGGCAGCGACGCUUAGGCGUUGUUGGGUAGGGGAGCGUUCUGUAAGCCGUUGAAGGUGGUCUGUGAGGGCUGCUGGAGGUAUCAGAAGUGCGAAUGCUGACAUAAGUAACGAUAAUGCGGGUGAAAAACCCGCACGCCGGAAGACCAAGGGUUCCUGUCCAACGUUAAUCGGGGCAGGGUGAGUCGACCCCUAAGGCGAGGCUGAAAAGCGUAGUCGAUGGGAAACAGGUUAAUAUUCCUGUACUUGGUGUUACUGCGAAGGGGGGACGGAGAAGGCUAGGCUAGCCGGGCGACGGUUGUCCCGGUUUAAGCAUGUAGGCGGAGUGACUUGGUAAAUCCGGUUGCUUAUCAACGCUGAGGUGUGAUGACGAUGCACUACGGUGCAGAAGUAGUUGAUGCCAUGCUUCCAGGAAAAGCCUCUAAGCAUCAGGUAACACGAAAUCGUACCCCAAACCGACACAGGUGGUCAGGUAGAGAAUACUCAGGCGCUUGAGAGAACUCGGGUGAAGGAACUAGGCAAAAUGGUGCCGUAACUUCGGGAGAAGGCACGCUGGCGCUAGGUGAAGAGACUUGCUCUCGGAGCUGAAGCCAGUCGCAGAUACCAGCUGGCUGCAACUGUUUAAUAAAAACACAGCACUGUGCAAACACGAAAGUGGACGUAUACGGUGUGACGCCUGCCCGGUGCUGGAAGGUUAAUUGAUGGGGUCAGCCGCAAGGCGAAGCUCUUGAUCGAAGCCCCAGUAAACGGCGGCCGUAACUAUAACGGUCCUAAGGUAGCGAAAUUCCUUGUCGGGUAAGUUCCGACCUGCACGAAUGGCGUAAUGAUGGCCAGGCUGUCUCCACCCGAGACUCAGUGAAAUUGAACUCGCUGUGAAGAUGCAGUGUACCCGCGGCAAGACGGAAAGACCCCGUGAACCUUUACUAUAGCUUGACACUGAACAUUGAGCCUUGAUGUGUAGGAUAGGUGGGAGGCAUUGAAGUGUGGACGCCAGUCUGCAUGGAGCCAACCUUGAAAUACCACCCUUUAAUGUUUGAUGUUCUAACUCGGCCCCGUAAUCCGGGGUGAGGACAGUGUCUGGUGGGUAGUUUGACUGGGGCGGUCUCCUCCCAAAGAGUAACGGAGGAGCACGAAGGUUAGCUAAUCACGGUCGGACAUCGUGAGGUUAGUGCAAAGGCAUAAGCUAGCUUGACUGCGAGAGUGACGGCUCGAGCAGGUACGAAAGUAGGUCUUAGUGAUCCGGUGGUUCUGAAUGGAAGGGCCAUCGCUCAACGGAUAAAAGGUACUCCGGGGAUAACAGGCUGAUACCGCCCAAGAGUUCAUAUCGACGGCGGUGUUUGGCACCUCGAUGUCGGCUCAUCACAUCCUGGGGCUGAAGUAGGUCCCAAGGGUAUGGCUGUUCGCCAUUUAAAGUGGUACGCGAGCUGGGUUUAGAACGUCGUGAGACAGUUCGGUCCCUAUCUGCCGUGGGCGUUGGAAGAUUGAGAGGGGCUGCUCCUAGUACGAGAGGACCGGAGUGGACGAAUCACUGGUGUUCGGGUUGUCAUGCCAAUGGCAUUGCCCGGUAGCUAAAUUCGGAAGAGAUAACCGCUGAAAGCAUCUAAGCGGGAAACUUGCCUCGAGAUGAGUCUUCCCUGGGGCUUUAAGCCCCCUGAAGGAACGUUAAAGACGAUGACGUUGA